ACAAGAUGGGAAGGGCUUCGGAAAUUACCUGGCCAAUAACAUUAGUCCCAUCUGGCAAAAAUCUAUGUAGUUUCACACAUAAUGCCUAUAUGGAGAAUGAACCGUCAUGAACAUCGACAGACAAGGUCGAAACUGGACAGCAACCAUUUUGUUGUUGCUCAUACUUGUGUAACCGGCAGGAAAAUUUUCAGUCAGUAUUUAAUUCACGAUUCGUGAUUACGGGUUUCGUUUGAUCGAAUUUCAAGUUUUGUGACCAACCUGAAAAAUACCCAGUAUCAUAAGCAGCAUGAAAAAUCGGCAGCUCUUCACAUUGUUCCUGCCAACUAUUCCACCAGGGCCUGGUUUCCGUGGUGCAAGUAACUUGUUUCCCUUUUGAGGACCCAGAUCAUCUCCAUCAACUAAUUGCCGAUGCCCUCGAAUCUUUCCUUCAAACGAGUCGGAAGGUUCUGCCUGUACCAUGCAAUACAGUGUAACGCUGGAUUCCAAAUCACGAAUUUUAGUCAACAGAUUUAUUAGCGGUAAAUCAAAUGCAAGAAAAUAAAUACAUAUAAUUGCAAAAAAA
RNAcentral lists this long non-coding RNA (562 nucleotides) under Aedes aegypti (yellow fever mosquito). RNAcentral describes it as "lncRNA AAEL024776". Lineage: Eukaryota; Metazoa; Arthropoda; Insecta; Diptera; Culicidae. The record is from RNAcentral.